Molecule: ribosomal RNA, 406 nt
Filed under: uncultured bacterium
Lineage: Bacteria
Description: partial 16S ribosomal RNA
Rfam family: Bacterial small subunit ribosomal RNA
Source: RNAcentral
AUUGAACGCUGGCGGCAGGCCUAACACAUGCAAGUCGAGCGAGCGGCGGACGGGUGAGUAAUGUCUGGGAAACUGCCUGAUGGCGGGGGAUAACUACUGGAAACGGUAGCGAAUACCGCAUACCCAAGGAAGUGCCCAGAUGGGAUUAGCUGGUAGGGGGGGUAACGUCUCCCCUAGGAGACAAUCCCUCGCUGGUCUGAGAGGAUGACCAGCCACACUGGAACUGUGACACGGUCCAGACUCCUACGGGAGGCAGCAGUGGGUAAUAGUGCACAAUGGGCGCAAGCCUGAUGCAGCCAUGCCGCGUGUGUGAAGAAGGCCUUCGGGUUGUAAAGCACUUUCAGCGGGGAGGCGUUACCCGCAGAAGAAGCACCGGCUAACUCCGUGCCAGCAGCCGCGGUAAUAC